CAGGGCUGAGGUCUCUGGGAAGGCAGAGCUGUGGUCUAGAAGAAGAUGAGACUGCUGAGUCUUCUCUUGUGCCUGGUGACAGCCCCCCAAGGUGUCCUGUCCCAGGUGCAGCUGCAGGAGUCGGGCCCAGGACUGGUGAAGCCCUCACAGACCCUCUCCCUCACCUGCACUGUCUCUGGUUACUCCAUCACAACCAGUGAUUACCGCUGGAAUUGGAUCCGCCAGCCCCCGGGAAAGGGGCUUGAGUGGAUAGGGGGCAUACGUUAUGAUGGAGACAUUAAAUACAGCCCCUCCCUCAAGAGCCGAACCUCCAUCUCCAGAGACACGUCCAAGAACCAGUUCUCCAUGCAGCUGAGCUCUGUAACCACUGAGGACAUGGCCCUGUAUUACUGUGGAAGACAUAGUGAGGGGAAGUCAGUGUGA
Non-coding RNA from Myotis brandtii (Brandt's bat), 423 nucleotides. NCBI's taxonomy places the organism in Eukaryota, Metazoa, Chordata, Mammalia, Chiroptera, Vespertilionidae. The record is from the annotation of a RefSeq genome assembly.